UCUGCGAUUCAAUAGAGAAGAAAACCUAUCGCUGCUACAGAUGAAGAUCAAUAUCCAUGAGAUUAAGUACCGAAUUUCAAUAGAAGUUUUCUUCUCUAUUGAAUCGCAGAACUGAACUGCUUCAACUACACAAGAACAACUACACGAGUGAUUUUAUGGUCAGAUUGAUCUUCACUUAACAAAUUGGGGUUUUGAUUUUCUUUUUCAGUACAAUGCAUAAAAAGAAAGAUUCCAUCAAUCCAGAAUCUCGAUACACUGAGUACAGUACAGGACUGCUAGAGUGACGUUGGUUUCAGAAUGGGACAAUGAUGUGACCCCCUAGCUAAUUUGGGUAUAGGGUUCACAUUGUUGUGUUCAUCGAAGUGUAAAGCUGCAGAAAUAAGCCAUUUGAACUCUUUGCUAUUUCUUACAUGGCUGUGCAGUUCCACCAUGUUUGUGGUGCUUGGGAAGCUGACCGGAUUUUGAAGUAGCAGAAAAAAGAAGAAGAAGCUCCUCUUCCUGUUUAGUAGUGAGAACUAAUAAUCAAAUGUCAACGGUUCUGAGUCAUUUUGGAGUCGGGAAAUCAGAUGAGCAGUUCGCUAGCUAGAUCGUGCUUUGUUUACUGAGAAAACACCAUUUUUAGACGAGAUGGUAAUAUACAAUUCCUUAGUGUUGGGUUCAUGGCUGAAAGAGGAGCAUUACUUCUCGUCAACGGUGAUGAUAAGAUAUGUAUAAGAUGCUUGCAGAGAGAAAGAACGGGUGAUAUUCUUUCCAGGUUUACAAGCACUUGCAGUCACCCGGAUAUAUUGUUGGUCAUCAUGGUGUUAAGUGGAUCUUGAAGAGUAUAUGGGUAUCCUGGUGAAUUCAAGCACUUCUAAACUGGAAGAAUGGCACGCACUGUGUUGGGGAUUCAAAAGACAGCAGUGGAAUAAUAUCAGUGACCGAAUUGGAAAAGGGAUUCUGCGUUGCUGAUGGUCUCACAAAAAUGCAUAUGAACAAUGAAGCAAAACCAGUGUUCGAACCAGAUUUCGUAGCAAGGCAUUAGCAUAAAUGUGUUCUUUAUUGCAACUCUAUGCUGUGUCCUUUUCUUUUGUAUCUUUCUUCGGUCAUCACCAUAAGCAUUAUCACAUACUCGGGUCGGUUCAUUUUUGUAUUGAAAGAUAAAGUUGCUUCUCUUA
Long non-coding RNA from Papaver somniferum (opium poppy), 1157 nucleotides. RefSeq lists it as uncharacterized. NCBI's taxonomy places the organism in Eukaryota, Viridiplantae, Streptophyta, Magnoliopsida, Ranunculales, Papaveraceae. The record is from RefSeq and is a predicted model, not a curated record. The transcript has 3 exons.